GACGAACCGUGCGAACGUUAUUCGGAAUCACUGGGCUUAAAGCGCGCGCAGGCGGUUCUCCAAGUCAGUGGUGAAAGCCCGGAGCUCAACUCCGGAACUGCCAUUGAAACUGUUGAACUUGAGGACGAGAGAGGUGAGUGGAAUUCCCAGUGUAGAGGUGAAAUUCGUAGAUAUUGGGAAGAACACCAGUGGCAAAGGCGGCUCACUGGCCCGAUACUGACGCUGAGGCACGAAAGCGUGGGGAGCAAACAGG
Molecule: ribosomal RNA, 253 nt
Filed under: uncultured bacterium
Lineage: Bacteria
Description: partial 16S ribosomal RNA
Rfam family: Bacterial small subunit ribosomal RNA
Source: RNAcentral